RNAcentral lists this non-coding RNA (179 nucleotides) under Halalkalibacter alkaliphilus. RNAcentral's name for it is "6S RNA". It matches the Rfam family "6S / SsrS RNA". Rfam says of the family: E. coli 6S RNA was the first non coding RNA to be sequenced, but its function was unknown until recently. It consists of 184 nucleotides that fold into an extended hairpin structure with a large single-stranded internal bulge. The 6S RNA specifically associates with RNA polymerase holoenzyme containing the sigma70 specificity factor. The record is from RNAcentral. Lineage: Bacteria; Bacillati; Bacillota; Bacilli; Caryophanales; Bacillaceae.
UAGAAGCUGCAUUGUACGCAAAUAAUGGUUUCAACCUGUAUACUUAAUUAGGGAGUUUUAAUCGAAAUAGGAAUGUCAAGCCUUCAAUGUGUAGAGGACGACUGAACUAUUUCUGCAAACACCCACUUCGAGAAGUGGUGGUUUGAAACUCAGUUAGUAGCGGCAAUUGCGGCCCACCC